RNAcentral lists this ribosomal RNA (253 nucleotides) under uncultured bacterium. RNAcentral's name for it is "partial 16S ribosomal RNA". It matches the Rfam family "Bacterial small subunit ribosomal RNA", at positions 524 to 776 of the family's 1533-position model. The record is from RNAcentral.
UACGUAGGGGGCAAGCGUUGUCCGGAUUUAUUGGGCGUAAAGAGCGUGUAGGCGGCUAGGUAGGUCCGUUGUGAAAACUCGAGGCUCAACCUCGAGACGCCGGUGGAAACCAUCUAGCUAGAGUCCGGAAGAAGAGAGUGGAAUUCCUGGUGUAGCGGUGAAAUGCGUAGAUAUCAAGUGGAACACCAGUGGCGAAGGCGAGUCUCUGGACAUUUCCUGACGCUGAGGCACGAAAGCCAGGGGAGCAAACGGG